This 254-nucleotide ribosomal RNA is filed under the name uncultured bacterium. Its description in RNAcentral is "partial 16S ribosomal RNA". It matches the Rfam family "Bacterial small subunit ribosomal RNA", at positions 524 to 776 of the family's 1533-position model. The record is from RNAcentral.
UACGUAGGGGGGCAAGCGUUGUCCGGAAUCAUUGGGCGUAAAGCGCGCGCAGGCGGAUGGGUAUGUGCCGUGUGAAAGCGCCGUCCUUACGAUGGCGAGGUCAUGGUAGACAGCCCGUCUGGAGGCUCGAAGAGGUCGGUGGAAUUCCGGGUGGAGCGGUGAAAUUCGUAGAUAUUCGCAAGAACACCAGUGGCGAAGGCGGCUCACUGGUCCGGAACUGACGCUGAGGUGCGAAAGCGUGGGGAGCAAACAGG